AUUUCUAACCCCAUAACCAGCGCCCCUCUUAACAUUACUCAAAACCCUAAAGCUUCAAAACCAACCCGCCUCCCUUUCGUCCCUCUCAACCCGCCUCCCUCUCUUUCUCUCUCCCUUUCGUCCCUCUCAACCCGCCUCCCUCUCUUUCUCUCUCACUUUCUCUCUCACUUUCGUCCCUCUCUUUGUCUCUCACUUUCGUCCGACGAUCUGCUUCAGUUCGCAUCAACCGCCGAUCGAAACUUCGACGCCAUGACCUUCAGUGAGCGAUCUUCAGCGUCGACGACACUAACACCAGCAACAACACUUCGAACAACUGACGAAUCUUCAGCGGACGAACGAAUCUUCAGAAUUCAGAUCUUGUUUGAAGACCUCGUUUUUUCAUUUCCGUGAAUUUUUCGAAGAUUUCCGUGAAUUUUUCGAAGAACUCAUUUUUUCAUCCUAAAAUCUCCAGAUGUGUUCGAAGUAUAACAACGAGAAGGAAGAUCAAGAUGUGAAGGAAGCUCCAACAUUUUUUUUAACUAUAUUGAUAGAUUUGUUUUUAUGAAUUAUUGUAAUAUAUAUGUUCUAAAAUUCGAAGCAUUUUCGUUUUUAUUUUUCCAGAUCUGGUCGAAUUUUUGUACAGUAUUGUUAUUAGUUUUAUUUGAUUUUCAAUCCUCUAUCUCUUA
Beta vulgaris subsp. vulgaris (sugar beet) is the source of this 665-nucleotide long non-coding RNA. RefSeq lists it as uncharacterized. The record is from RefSeq and is a predicted model, not a curated record. The transcript is spliced from 3 exons. Lineage: Eukaryota; Viridiplantae; Streptophyta; Magnoliopsida; Caryophyllales; Amaranthaceae.